RNAcentral lists this transfer RNA (84 nucleotides) under Aletris glabra. RNAcentral describes it as "tRNA-Tyr". It matches the Rfam family "tRNA". From Rfam's summary of the family: Transfer RNA (tRNA) molecules are approximately 80 nucleotides in length. The record is from RNAcentral. RNAcentral also lists the same sequence under 13 other names. Lineage: Eukaryota; Viridiplantae; Streptophyta; Magnoliopsida; Dioscoreales; Nartheciaceae.
GGGUCGAUGCCCGAGGGGUUAAUGGGGACGGACUGUAAAUUCGUUGGCGAUAUGUCUACGCUGGUUCAAAUCCAGCUCGGCCCA